Molecule: long non-coding RNA, 236 nt
Organism: Leptinotarsa decemlineata (Colorado potato beetle)
Lineage: Eukaryota; Metazoa; Arthropoda; Insecta; Coleoptera; Chrysomelidae
Source: RefSeq, a predicted model, not a curated record
UGUACCUCAGGCGUGAUGUAAAUUUAUAUUUUUAAGAACUAAAUAUUAGAAUGUUGAAGUACCAAUGGAAGCACCACUUGAAGUACCAAUGGAAUUAUAAGCAAGAACUGAUUGAUGGUUACCGAAACCUAGAAUUUAAUGGAUCUCAUGGAAGUACUAUUUCAAAAAUGAGCAUUUUUUCUUUUUCUCCAUAUUUGGUUAUAACAAUAAGUAAGCAAUAAAUGAAUGAACAUCCA